This 28-nucleotide non-coding RNA is filed under the name Mus musculus (house mouse). Lineage: Eukaryota; Metazoa; Chordata; Mammalia; Rodentia; Muridae. The record is from RNAcentral.
UCUGGAAACAGCUCUGCCGCGAGAAAGA